RNAcentral lists this non-coding RNA (282 nucleotides) under Desulfofundulus kuznetsovii. Lineage: Bacteria; Bacillati; Bacillota; Clostridia; Eubacteriales; Peptococcaceae. The record is from RNAcentral.
AAUUGAAUAAAGUGGACGGGUGCUCCCUGCCGGAAAGGGCAGGGAUAGAGGGAAGUCAGUGAAAAUCUGACGCGGUGCCGCCACUGUGAAUGGGGAGUCCGCCACACAAAGCCACUGGUCCAGCACUCAGUUAAUUUGAUUCUGCUGUGGUUGAGGUUAGCUGAUGAUAAUAAAGAUAAAGUAGGGGAGAACGGAAAUAAGCAGGGCUGAGUGCGGGGCUGGGAAGGCGUGGUGGGGCAGUGAUCCAUGAGCCAGGAAACCUGCCCGUUCCAAUUCACCGCU